ACUCCUACGGGAGGCAGCAGUGGGGAAUAUUGCGCAAUGGACGAAAGUCUGACGCAGCGACGCCGCGUGGAGGAUGAAGGUUUUCGGAUCGUAAACUCCUGUCAAGAGGGAAGAAACCUAUCAUGAAUAAUACUUAUGGUAAUUGACGGUACCUCUAGAGGAAGCACCGGCUAAUUCAGUGCCAGCAGCCGCGGUAAUACUGAAGGUGCAAGCGUUAAUCGGAAUCACUGGGCGUAAAGCGCUCGUAGGUGGCUUUGUAAGUCAGGUGUGAAAGCCCACGGCUCAACCGUGGAAUUGCACUUGAUACUGCAUCGCUAGAGUAUAGGAGAGGGAAGUGGAAUUUCUGGUGUAGGAGUGAAAUCCGUAGAGAUCAGAAGGAACACCCGUGGCGAAGGCGACUUCCUGGACUAUUACUGACACUGAGGAGCGAAAGCGUGGGGAGCAAACAGGAUUAGAUACCCCGUGGUAGACUGUCA
RNAcentral lists this ribosomal RNA (476 nucleotides) under uncultured bacterium. RNAcentral's name for it is "bacterial SSU rRNA". It matches the Rfam family "Bacterial small subunit ribosomal RNA", at positions 335 to 802 of the family's 1533-position model. The record is from RNAcentral.